CGUACUUCGUAUUUGUAAUAUACCAGAUUUUGGUAUAAAAAUAAAAAUAAAUAAAAAUAGUGUAAGAAACUAUUUUUAUUGGAUUUAUAAAAGUAAAAUAUAAGUCAGAAGUGACUUGUGCUGAAAUCGGAAUGAAAACAGAAGAUCUAGAAUUUUCUGUUGGAAACGGGACAAAUAAAAUAGCAGAAAAUGCACAGUCUCAGAAAAUUAUGAAAAUUGGAGGAUAAGUCAGAAAUAUUUUUAUGAGGCUAGAUUUAAAGUUUCAUAUUUUUCUGACACCCGUAGAGUGAGAAAUAAAAUCCGACAGCUAUCUGAUAAAGAUUACAGUUCGGUACAGUUUUCAGUGACCAAACGGGGUCGAAACUGAACCAGCGAUCGUCAGCUUGUUAAGUUAAGUAAAACCG
Molecule: long non-coding RNA, 404 nt
Filed under: Ananas comosus (pineapple)
Lineage: Eukaryota; Viridiplantae; Streptophyta; Magnoliopsida; Poales; Bromeliaceae
Description: long non-coding RNA (ACOM_LNC003706)
Source: RNAcentral